Molecule: ribosomal RNA, 765 nt
Filed under: uncultured Fibrobacter sp.
Lineage: Bacteria; Pseudomonadati; Fibrobacterota; Fibrobacteria; Fibrobacterales; Fibrobacteraceae
Description: bacterial SSU rRNA
Rfam family: Bacterial small subunit ribosomal RNA
Source: RNAcentral
UUAAUGUCCAGGAGAGUGGCCCUCCGCAUGGAGGGUUGACUAGAGAUUUAUCGGUAUGGGAUGAGCUUGCGUCCGAUUAGCUAGUUGGCGGGGCAACGGCCCACCAAGGCGACGAUCGGUAGCCGGCCUGAGAGGGUGAUCGGCCACAUUGGGACUGAGAUACGGCCCAGACUCCUACGGGAGGCAGCAGUAGGGAAUAUUGCACAAUGGGGGAAACCCUGAUGCAGCAACGCCACGUGUGGGAAGAAGCAUUUCGGUGUGUAAACCACUGUCAUGAGGGAAUAAGGCCCGCCUCCGGGCGGGAUUGAAUGUACCUUGAGAGGAAGCACCGGCAAACUUCGUGCCAGCAGCCGCGGUAGUACGAGGGGUGCAAGCGUUGUUCGGAAUUACUGGGCGUAAAGGGAGCGUAGGCGGAGAUUCAAGCGGAUUGUACAAUCCCGGGGCCCAACCCCGGCUCUGCAGUCCGAACUAGAUCUCUUGGAUAGUUCAGGGGCAGGCGGAAUUCCUGGUGUAGCGGUGGAAUGCGUANAGAUCAGGAAGAACACCGAUGGCGAAGGCAGCCUGCUGGGGACUUAUCGACGCUGAGGCUCGAAAGUGCGGGUAGCAAACAGGAUUAGAUACCCUGNNANUCCGCACCGUAAACAAUGCAUACUGGGUGUCCGGGGGUUCCCCCGGGUACCGNAGCCNACGCGUUAAGUAUGCCGCCUGGGGAGUACGUACGCNAGUAUGAAACUCAAAGGAAUUGACGGGGGCCCGCACAAGCGG